CCUACGGGAGGCAGCAGUGGGGAAUCUUGCGCAAUGGGGGAACCCUGACGCAGCGACGCCGCGUGGAGGAUGAAGGUCUUCGGGUUGUAAACUCCUUUUCUUGGGGAAAAUGAUGAUGGUACUCAAGGAAUAAGUCUUGGCUAACUACGUGCCAGCAGCCGCGGUAAUACGUAGGAGGCAAACGUUAUUCGGAUUUACUGGGCGUAAAGCGGGUGUAGACGGCUGCUUAAGUCGGUUGUGAAAUCUCCUGACUUAAUUGGGAGAAGUCAAUCGAUACUGAGUAGCUAGAGGGCAGCAGAAGAAAGUGGAAUUCCCGGUGUAGCGGUGAUAUGCGUAGAUAUCGGGAGGAACACCAGUGGCGAAGGCGGCUUUCUAGGCUGUUCCUGACGUUGAUGCCCAAAAGCGUGGGGAGCGAAACGGAUUAGAUACCCGUGUAGUCCACGCCCUAAACGUUGGAAACUAGGUAUGGUGAGUAUCGACCCUCUUCGUGCCGAAGCUAACGCUUUAAGUUUCCCGCCUGGGGACUACGGCCGCAAGGCUAAAACUCAAAGGAUUGACGG
RNAcentral lists this ribosomal RNA (560 nucleotides) under uncultured bacterium. Its description in RNAcentral is "bacterial SSU rRNA". It matches the Rfam family "Bacterial small subunit ribosomal RNA", at positions 338 to 916 of the family's 1533-position model. The record is from RNAcentral.